RNAcentral lists this ribosomal RNA (403 nucleotides) under uncultured bacterium. RNAcentral's name for it is "partial 16S ribosomal RNA". It matches the Rfam family "Bacterial small subunit ribosomal RNA", at positions 355 to 774 of the family's 1533-position model. The record is from RNAcentral.
CGAGGAAUAUUGCACAAUGGAGGCAACUCUGAUGCAGUAACGCCGCGUGAGGGAAGAAGAUUUUCGGAUUGUAAACCUCUUUUUGUAGAGACGAGCGAGGACGGUAUCUAUAGAAUAAGUCUCGGCUAACUACGUGCCAGCAGCCGCGGUAAGACGUAGGAGGCGAGCGUUAUCCGGAUUCACUGGGCGUAAAGCGCAUGUAGGCGGUUGUGCAAGUCGUGUGUGAAAGUCCCCGGCUCAACUGGGGAAGGUCAUGCGAAACUGUGCGACUCGAGGGCAGGAGAGGAACGUGGAACUCCCGGUGUAGCGGUGGAAUGCGUAGAGAUCGGGAAGAACACCAGUGGCGAAGGCGACGUUCUGGUCUGCACCUGACGCUGAGAUGCGAAAGUGUGGGUAGCAAACG